RNAcentral lists this long non-coding RNA (783 nucleotides) under Equus caballus (horse). Its description in RNAcentral is "lncRNA (ENSECAG00000044058.1)". Lineage: Eukaryota; Metazoa; Chordata; Mammalia; Perissodactyla; Equidae. The record is from RNAcentral.
GUUUUGGUGACUUCAGAAGGAGGGGGGGUUGCUUUGGGGGAUUCUACCACGUGGAAAAAGGAAAACAAGGAAGGCACCUAUCUUUCACUCCCAGGAAACCUUUGCAAAAGGGACAAAAAUAAGUUUGGACACAGGCUUCAUUACCUUCCGUGGGAAGUAUAAAUCAGGGCUACAAUAGACAUAAUAUUUUCCAAAUCUGCCUGCAUUUAUUUGGCAGGAAAAGAAUGUCUCAUGCGUGACCCAGCCUUCCAGGAGCUUACAUUUGCCUCCUCUUGCAGCUGCAGAUUUACAUGCAAUAUGCUAAGAUGGAAAUAAUGCUUUAAAAAAGAAAACACACAAUCAUUUUGCGGAAGACUUGAGAAAAACGUUUUCAGCUUAAAGAGAAAAAAGCAGUGAGACCCCUUCGGCGUCUGUGCAAAACUGUUUGCUUGGCUCUGGAGGUGAUAAAAAUAAUUUAUGAAGCUCUACAUUUUUAGCAAGAGGAAAUGACCUCAGCUUUUGGCAAUCUGAUGCAGUUAGUGAAGCCUCUCUCUACUACUUUUAUGGAUUUCCUUGAGCUGCAUAUUCUGUGACCUGUAUUUCAGAUUUAUUGGCAGAUACAUAAGCCACAUUAAGUAACAUAAAAUGCAGUGAAUGCAUCAAACAACUCAGCGGGGACCGACUGACAGCGGGCGAGAGGCUGCCUCUUCGAAGAAGUCAUUCCGAAUCUGAUACCUGUUUAUGCAUUUGUCUAACCAGGCUCUGGAUUUUUAUUUUAAAUAAAGACAUUAUUUCAAAACAAAA